UGAGGGAUAUUGGUCAAUGGGGGAAACCCUGAACCAGCAACGCCGCGUGAGGGAAGACGGUUUUCGGAUUGUAAACCUCUGUCCUCUGUGAAGAUAAUGACGGUAGCAGAGGAGGAAGCUCCGGCUAACUACGUGCCAGCAGCCGCGGUAAUACGUAGGGAGCAAGCGUUGUCCGGAUUUACUGGGUGUAAAGGGUGCGUAGGCGGCCCUGCAAGUCAGAAGUGAAAUCCAUGGGCUUAACCCGUGAACCGCUUUUGAAACUGUAGGGCUUGAGUGAAGUAGAGGCAGGCGGAAUUCCCGGUGUAGCGGUGAAAUGCGUAGAGAUCGGGAGGAACACCAGUGGCGAAGGCGGCCUGCUGGGCUUUAACUGACGCAGAAGCACGAAAGCGUGGGUAGCAAACAGG
RNAcentral lists this ribosomal RNA (404 nucleotides) under uncultured bacterium. Its description in RNAcentral is "bacterial SSU rRNA". It matches the Rfam family "Bacterial small subunit ribosomal RNA", at positions 355 to 776 of the family's 1533-position model. The record is from RNAcentral.